RNAcentral lists this ribosomal RNA (22 nucleotides) under Epistylis plicatilis. RNAcentral describes it as "partial 5.8S ribosomal RNA". RNAcentral also lists the same sequence under 2 other names. Lineage: Eukaryota; Ciliophora; Oligohymenophorea; Sessilida; Epistylidae. The record is from RNAcentral.
AUGAAGAACGCAGCGAAAUGCG